This 1347-nucleotide long non-coding RNA is filed under the name Canis lupus familiaris (dog). RNAcentral describes it as "lncRNA (ENSCAFG00040011870.1)". The record is from RNAcentral. Lineage: Eukaryota; Metazoa; Chordata; Mammalia; Carnivora; Canidae.
AUGCAGGGUUGUAGACCUGUAGGAGAUGCCUCACCGGAUUUGCACGGCUGGUCCCACGGGAAUGACGACGCGUCAGGCAGGAUGGCCCGGGUGGGGAGGACACGGAUGGUUGGGGACACGGAAUCCCUCGUGACAUUGCUGCGACCGGCAUUCAGGGAACACGGUGAGAGGUGUCUCUUUUCCUAUUUGGAUUUCCUAACACAGCCGUGGCCCCUUGGCGGCGGUUGCACUCUGGCCUCGGGUGCCGGGGAGCCCCUCUCGGUGAAGCCCCGCAGGUCAGGAGCAGCCCAGGCCCUCGGCCUCACCACCUGCUGGUGGGAUGGGGGGGGGGGGGGGAGGCCUUGUCGCCGACCUCCCACCCUGCCUGACUCACAGGUCACACUCUCCCACAGGGGCAGGUGCGCCUCGGGCCCCCCGGCGGGUCUGGGCGCCCGGGCCCCGCACACCUCUGGGGGCUCCCGUCCGGGGAACAGCGACCGUCGUGGGAUCCUGUCUGGGAAGAAGUUGGGAGGAAGGUCCCCACGGAUUCGUGUCUGGUUCUCGUCCUGGAGGCUUCGGGGCACUUCCCAGCCCGGGUUCUCUUAUCCUGGGUUUGGGCCUAAAAGGACACAGGGGACAAGGGACAAUGAGAGAGACCUCGGAGAGGGACAAGCGUUUGGUCUUCUUCUCCCUAGAUCUUUGCAGUGCUUGUCUCCUUCUUACCUUCUGACUUGUACACAGUUGCUCUUUGGGCCCUCCCAGCACCCUCCCCCUCCCAGCACCCUCUCCCUCCAGCACCCUCCCUCUCCAGCACCCUCUCCUCCCAGCACCCUCCCCCACCCAGCACCCUCCCCUUCCAGCACCCUCCCCCUCCAGCACCCUCUCCCUUCAGCACCCUCUCCCUCCCCGCAUCCUCCCCCUUCAGCACCCUCCCACUCCCAGCACCCUCCCCCUCCAGCACCCUCUCCCUCCAGCACCCUCUCCCUCCCCGCAUCCUCUCCCUCCCAGAACCCUCCCCUCCAGCACCCUCUCCCUCCCAGCACCCUCUCCCUCCAGCACCCUCCACCUCCAGCACCCUCCCCUUCCCAGCACCCUCUCCCUCCCAGCACCCUCUCCCUCCAGCACCCUCCCCUCCCAGCACCCUCUCCCUCCCAGCACCCUCUCCCUCCAGCACCUUCUCCCACCAGCACCCUCCCCCUCCAGCACCCUCUCCUUCCCAGCACCCUCCUCCUCCCAGCACCCUCUACCUCCUUUCAUGGUGGGAACACAAAGAGUCCGGUGUGUACAAGCCACCCACCAGGAAGCACAGUGUGGCCCAGGCCCGGCCCCACUCGGGGCCCUGCUCGGUGGGGUCUCCCAGGGGUCUGA